AAACAUGGCGGCGGCGGGUGUUGUGAGCGGGAAGGGUGGAUGCUGAUAUACUGCUUGACUUACUGCAUAUUUGAAGGUUAUCCUGUUUGAUUUUCCAUCUAAACUGAUCCAGGCUGGGACUUUUCAAGAGGGGAUCCCUUCCGUUUAAACAUCUCCCUCUUUCAGAUUAUAUAUGAACAAGAAGGAGUAUAUAUUCACUCAUCUUGUGGAAAGACCAAUGACCAAGACAGCUUGAUUUCAGGAAUAUUACGUGUUUUAGAAAAGGAUGCCGAAGUAAUAGUGGACUGGAGACCAUUGGAUGAUGCAUUAGAUUCCUCUAGUAUUCUCUAUGCUAGAAAGGACUCCAGUUCAGUUGUAGAAUGGACUCAGGCCCCAAAAGAAAGAGGUCAUCAAGGAUCAGAACAUCUGAACAGUUACGAAGCAGAAUGGGACAUGGUUAAUACAGUUUCAUUUAAAAGGAAACCACAUACCAAUGGAGUUUGACAGACCUGAAAUCAAUCAAGCAAAACAAAGAGGGUAUGGGCUGGUCCUAUUUGGUAUUCUGUCUAAAGGAUGAC
RNAcentral lists this small RNA (557 nucleotides) under Pongo abelii (Sumatran orangutan). RNAcentral's name for it is "processed transcript". Lineage: Eukaryota; Metazoa; Chordata; Mammalia; Primates; Hominidae. The record is from RNAcentral.